Long non-coding RNA from Tupaia belangeri chinensis (Chinese tree shrew), 426 nucleotides. RefSeq lists it as uncharacterized. The transcript has 3 exons. The record is from RefSeq and is a predicted model, not a curated record. NCBI's taxonomy places the organism in Eukaryota, Metazoa, Chordata, Mammalia, Scandentia, Tupaiidae.
GAGGGCUUAGUGGGCGGAGUACACCCUAUUACUUACUUUUGAAGUAGUUACAUGAUGUGAAUGUUUUGAGUACACACUGUCUGAUUGCAAACAAGUAUUUGGGAACAUCUGGGAGUGUGGAGAGAAGGGUGCUAAACAAAAAGGAUUGUUUUGCUGGUUCCAGAGCAGUGCUGCCUUUCAAGACAGUGCAUUGCUCUUCAGCUAUGGCUUCAUGUGAAUGGAAGCUCUGUUACUAACUUGCUGUGUAAUCCUGGGCCCGUCUGAGUUUUACUUCCCGAUAGCAGAGAAUUUGACCAACAUUGCUUCCAAUAUACAUGCUGGCUCUGACAGUUUGAGCCCAAGAUUCUCCUGCAGAAUAAUUGAAGCUUACCAACAUUAGAACAUUACAGACGGACCAGAGAGGAGAUUUCAAGGUAUUAAGUCUUG